AAGGCUUUAGCUUAAUUAAAGUGUCUGUUUUGCAUGCAGAACAUGUGGGUUAAUAUCCUGCAAGUCUUA
This 69-nucleotide transfer RNA is filed under the name Brachygobius doriae. RNAcentral's name for it is "tRNA-Ala". It matches the Rfam family "tRNA". Rfam says of the family: Transfer RNA (tRNA) molecules are approximately 80 nucleotides in length. Their secondary structure includes four short double-helical elements and three loops (D, anti-codon, and T loops). The record is from RNAcentral. Lineage: Eukaryota; Metazoa; Chordata; Actinopteri; Gobiiformes; Gobiidae.